Long non-coding RNA from Lagenorhynchus albirostris (white-beaked dolphin), 490 nucleotides. RefSeq lists it as uncharacterized. The record is from RefSeq and is a predicted model, not a curated record. The transcript is spliced from 3 exons. Lineage: Eukaryota; Metazoa; Chordata; Mammalia; Artiodactyla; Delphinidae.
GGUUUUGCUUCCAUUUCUGAUGUCUGUGCUGCAAUUUAAGAAGCCUGCCUUGCACCAACGGUUCUCAUUAAAAUAGGCCUAGGCUGGUCCCUGCUACUAUCUAGAUUUCAGGAACAAAGCUCUUUAUGGGUCCUAAAUACCUUAGGAAUGUAGGUAAUCAAAAAACAAACAAACGUUAUCUCAAAAGUCCCUUUCCUUCCUUAAAAGCCCUCCCAGAGUGACAGAUGUGAAGCUGUGCCCUGGACACUCAAGUAGUCUGGCACAUGCCCAGCUAUGGAGCCCCGGGCCCUGGGGAUAACAUGGUUCUGGCCACUUCUACUUAAGGCCUUUCUUGUCCCCAGUGAAGUUCUCACCCCACCCUUGAAUUGCUAAUACAUUAUCCCAGGGCAGACUUGGAGAAUGGCUGGACCAAAAGGAAAAGAACCUUCUCAUCCUAAUACAGAAUAGAGUUUCCUGAAUAGGAGAGAGCUCAGGAGAACUCCAAGCUGCU